Long non-coding RNA from Dermacentor andersoni, 3421 nucleotides. RefSeq lists it as uncharacterized. The record is from RefSeq and is a predicted model, not a curated record. Lineage: Eukaryota; Metazoa; Arthropoda; Arachnida; Ixodida; Ixodidae.
CCUAGCAACAAGCUAGCGGCACGCCAGACUCGCGUGCAUACGUCAUGCGCCAGACAAGCCGCAGGAGUGAGCGAGGACGGUCGUACGUGCGAACCUCGCGUGCUCGGCGACCCGUCUGUUUUGGAUAUAGCCCAUAUUUUGGGGGCUCCCGGCCUUCUCUAUGCUUCUCUUGCGUAUCGUCUGCAUUUCGACACGGCACCACUGCACUACUGGGCUACGGCAAGCUGAUGGCAUCCGGUGGAGCAUCGUACGGCAACGACUGCUGCUUACCUGGUACCACAACUUCAGAUGAAUGCAGAAGAAGCCCGGAACGAGCAUUUAUAUAGAGCAAAAUAAACAUUUCAUCAUUUCAGAAGACGUCUUUCGUUUUCUUUAUGAAAUUGCACCUGACAGAUUCGGCGCAGUCUUGUAAAGGUCAAUCGCAAUCAUUUCUACUUGUUAAUGAAACGAUUCCACGCCAAGGCCACGCGAGGUUCAGCAGAAGCGAAAAAAAAAAAAAUGAAUGCCGCGCCGAGCAGCGGAGCCGGCGCGGCGGGUACCAACUGGUGUUCAAAACGCGCGCGCCCAAAACCGAAACCGGAAGGAGUCAACAACAACCGCUUGGUGUGCUGCAGUCAAUUCGGCCGCUGGGCUCUAUGGGAGUGUCCGCUCUUGUUGAAAUUUUUCUCUAUGGGCAAACGCCUGUUAGAUUUAGCGGAAAUUCCCCCUCCUCGCAUGACUGUUGCGCAUAGAGCAGGGCCUGUUGCCAGCAAACAGCGUCGGAUACGCAAGCGCACUGGAAACGUGGAAGCGCUAAUAUACUCCCGGUAGUUGUUAGGUGCUCCUUGCGUACCUAUGUUAAUGCUUAAGCAUUCUAGGGAUUCUUUCCUCGGAACUUUGUCCGUCCGUCCGUCCAUCCGCUUUUCAGUUUGUAACUUGUGGCACGAUACACUGCAUGCAUAGGUAUGGACGUCAGACUCUGGAGUUUUGCAAGACGCGUAGCGCCACCUACCGGUGCGAAGAGGCAGUAAUUGAGUAGUGCGAAGCUAGACUCCCUUGCUAAGUUGCCUAUGCAGCUAGCGACUGCGAAACAACGAUUUAACUAGAUUUUGGCCCGUAUUGCGAGCGUUUUGCGCAUUUAACACCCCGACAGAGAGCUAUGAAAUUCUAGCUAGUCGGACACGCCGCCGAACUGCCAUAAAGCGCUUGCUGGCUCACUUUUCAGACUGAUGGCGCAAACGACGGCAACCGCGAUAGCUCCACGCGCUACGAAGAAACGCCGCAAUCGACGCUACUGUUGUGUUGUAAAUUGCCAUGAACGUGAAGGACGGAAUAACAACGUUCAGUUUUGCCGAUUUCAAUCGCGAUCGUAUGAAGGGGAAAGGCGAGAGCGCUGGAUACGGGCCGUUCAACCUGUUGGGCAAUCGAAUUACUUGCAUUCCCCACAACACAGCGGCUCGCAUGAGAAAGUGCGACAAUUUUGUUCUUCUGUAAUUGUGUUGCGUAGCCCUGACGGAGGACCGUGGUAACCAAGCGAAAACUCAAGAAUGUGCAGCCGUCACUUCGUUGGUAACCGAAAAAACAACGUUCCGAACCAUCCUUCUUAUGUGCCAUGGAUAUCUCCACCUUUUAACAGACGUCCGCCUCCGCUUGACUCAACAAGUAGAACGGAGAGAUUCGGCAGGUCAGCUUAACCAAACAUUUUAGUUCGUUUAUGAAUUCAAAAUCCUGUUUUAGAGCAUCGUUGUAUCGCGAGCUCAUUUCUACUUUCGGUAUCUUGUAUGUCCUGCGCCGAUACAACAAGCACGCUUCGCAAUGUGCUGAGCCUGCUCGACUGCGUUUUUCAAAUGUGAGCAAUGAAGUUGCUGUAGGAUCACUGGACAAGUAAUUGCGAAGUAACGUACGUGUGUAAAGAAAAAAAAUGUCGCGUUUAUUUGCAUUUAUUUGUGCGCGCUUGUUGCUCGAAGCGUCUGCGAAAAGUUCAAAUUAAGGUAUGAGCGAUGCUGUAGCUCCUGCGAGAAAGAUGCAGCGCGCAGGCACUGUAGGAAGCUUUCUUUCGUUAUGAUCGCACGCUGUUUGCUGCCUUGGAAAACGUUUUCUGUUUGCUGCCCUGGUAAAGGCUAUGAAAGGAUUUACUCUCUGUACAUAAUUGCGAGACAAAACAUUACGAUAAAUUACAUAAAAAUAUGGGAGAUACUUAAGUCUUGCGUUCAGGACAUAUUCAAUAUGAACCAAUUUGAAAUGCUUAGAUUAUUAUGCUGAUAUGCCUAUAGACAAACCUGAUACUCUCUGUACUUGCGAGUUGCAGCACGCCGAAAUAAAACUUGAGACUUUAUUUUAUAUUGUACACGUACUUCGCCCUACUGAGCUUCCUUUCCGAAGCGUGGAUGGGCGGAAGACGCUUUCCAGGUCCCUGAUUUUUAGGAAACCGUGCCUCAACACAAACGAAAGAGAAGGGUCCAUUGUGGCCUAUGCACCUUCGCUUGCGGACAGCUCUCCUUGCACUACCCAGUUCGCGCCAAGGCUCCGAUGGGGGCGCUGGUGACAGGUUUUUUCGCAGCGCCGCCUGGGCAGAGUCUGAGGUCUAUACGUGAGGUCGUACGGAGCCAUACAGUGUUCCUGCCAUCAGCAUGGUGUCACUCUGGGUCAACGUCAGUCUUCGUUGAUGAUCAGCACAAAAACACGCCCAUAGAAAUCUUCCAAAUUUUUUAGCACCUCUGAUUUUAACAGCGCAUUUUCGUGUUUGCGACCACUGGAACUGAUCCUGCAGGAUGACUAGUAAAUUGUGUAGCGUACCCGUGAUCUCUUCUGUUCCACACCUGCAACCAUGGAUGAAACGCUGCUCCCAGCGAGGGGUAACUUCCUCAUGGGGCGACGCACCUGUAAACUCCGGGUUAAGUUUUGUCUCUGUGACUGUUGAAGCAAGCCCACACAAAUCCUCUGUUACCUUUUGAUACAGGUGAAUUUGUACAAUGCAUUUUUGUGUCUAUGACUGCUGAAGCGAGCAUGCUGAUAACCUUUAGUUAAUUGAGUAGUCGCCAAGGUACCAGUGACGGCUUCAGCAACAUUUGGUUGUGACCACGGAAAGGUCUUAUUCAGUUUCUGUUUACUUGUUUAGAGGCCUUUGAGCCUGUGAACAAUUUAAGUGAAUUUGUAUCUGUGACCACUCAACUACCGCAAGUAUCUUGUCACUUCUAGUACCUGUGAAAUCAGUUUGGUUUUGUGCUGAAGCAAGUGUCUUGUAACUAGUAUCUUGUCACUUCUAGUACCUGUGAAAUCAGUUUGGUUUUGUGCUGAAGCAAGUGUCUAGUAACUGCAUUUGUACCUGCGAACUCUCCAGUAAUGUUCGUGUCUGCAACUGCCUAAGUGAUCCUUUAGUAAUAUUAAUGCCCAGUGUAUCUAUCAAAUCUUUAGUAAUUUUACUGUGUGACACCAUUGGAGC